CCGCAAGGAAUUAGUAGAGUGGCAAACGGGUGAGUAACACGUGGGUGACCUGCCUUCGAGUGGGGGAUAACGUCCCGAAAGGGACGCUAAUACCGCAUAACAUCCCGCCUUUUAAGAGGUGGAAAUCAAAGCCGGGGAUCGCAAGACCUGGCGCUUGAAGAGGGGCCCGCGUCCGAUUAGCUAGUUGGUGGGGUAACGGCUCACCAAGGCGACGAUCGGUAGCCGGCCUAAGAGGGCGGACGGCCACACUGGGACUGAGACACGGCCCAGACUCCUACGGGAGGCAGCAGUGGGGAAUUGUUCGCAAUGGGCGCAAGCCUGACGACGCAACGCCGCGUGGAGGAUGAAGACCUUCGGGUCGUAAACUCCUUUCGAUCGAGACGAAUGGCCCCUGGGUUAACAGCCUGGGGGAGUGACGGUACCGAGAGAAGAAGCCCCGGCUAACUCCGUGCCAGCAGCCGCGGUAAUACGGGGGGGGCAAGCGUUGUUCGGAAUUACUGGGCGUAAAGGGCUCGUAAGCGGCCAACUAAGUCAGACGUGAAAUCCCUCGGCUUAACCGGGGAACUGCGUCUGAUACUGGAUGGCUUGAAUCCGGGAGAGGGAUGCGGAAUUCCAGGUGUAGCGGUGAAAUGCGUAGAUAUCUGGAGGAACACCGGUGGCGAAGGCGGCAUCCUGGACCGGCAUUGACGCUGAGGAGCGAAAGCCAGGGGAGCAAACGGGAUUAGAUACCCCGGUAGUCCUGGCCCUAAACG
Molecule: ribosomal RNA, 752 nt
Filed under: uncultured bacterium
Lineage: Bacteria
Description: bacterial SSU rRNA
Rfam family: Bacterial small subunit ribosomal RNA
Source: RNAcentral